Molecule: unclassified non-coding RNA, 285 nt
Filed under: plant metagenome
Description: partial contains small subunit ribosomal RNA and internal transcribed spacer 1
Rfam family: Eukaryotic small subunit ribosomal RNA (bases 1-54)
Source: RNAcentral
GGAAGUAAAAGUCGUAACAGGGUUUCCGUAGGUGAACCUGCGGAAGGAUCAUUAUUGUAUAACCGAGGUGCGAGGGCUGUCGCUGACCCGAAAGGUCGUGCACGCCCGAGUGCCCUCACACACAUCCAUCUCACCCCUAUGUGCACCACCGCGUGGGUCCCCCUUUGGCUUGUUCGGAGGGGGGCUUACGUUUUCACACAAACUUUGUAUGCAGUGUAGAAUGUAUUUUUUGUUUUUGCGAUCACGCAAUCAAUACAACUUUCAACAAAGGAUCUCUUGGCUCUC